AGUGAACGCUGGCGGUAGGCCUAACACAUGCAAGUCGAACGGCAGCACAGUAAGAGCUUGCUCUUACGGGUGGCGAGUGGCGGACGGGUUAGGAAUACAUCGGAAUCUACUUUUUCGUGGGGUAUAACGUAGGGAAACUUACGCUAAUACCGCAUACGACCUACGGGUGAAAGCAGGGGAUCUUCGGACCUUGCGCGAUUGAAUGAGCCGAUGUCGGAUUAGCUAGUUGGCGGGGUAAAGGCCCACCAAGGCGACGAUCCGUAGCUGGUCUGAGAGGAUGAUCAGCCACACUGGAACUGAGACACGGUCCAGACUCCUACGGGAGGCAGCAGUGGGGAAUAUUGGACAAUGGGCGCAAGCCUGAUCCAGCCAUACCGCGUGGGUGAAGAAGGCCUUCGGGUUGUAAAGCCCUUUUGUUGGGAAAGAAAAGCAGCAGGUUAAUACCCCGCUGUUCUGACGGUACCCAAAGAAUAAGCACCGGCUAACUUCGUG
This 492-nucleotide ribosomal RNA is filed under the name uncultured bacterium. RNAcentral describes it as "partial 16S ribosomal RNA". It matches the Rfam family "Bacterial small subunit ribosomal RNA", at positions 29 to 507 of the family's 1533-position model. The record is from RNAcentral.